CGGUGGGCGGGCGGGCGCCCGGCCGCUGCUCCGCCCGCGCGCAAGGGAGAGCUAUUUCGGGAGCGCCGCGCGGCCGGCGAGCCAAAGAUAGCGCGGGCGGGAGGUAUUUAUAGCGCGGCGGCGCCGCCUCCGCCGCCGCCGCUGCUUUUCCGGGGCGGGGAGAGGAAAAUGCCGAGCCGGAGCCUCUGGCCCCGGGGCGAGAGCCGGAGCAGGGAUUCCCCGCGCGGGCGGGGGAGGGCGGAGACGCCGGGGCUGCCCCGGGCCAGCCUGACGCAACGGCGAGCGGACGGGGAUCUCCCUGCCGGGGCGGGGACUCCGCCCGGAGCCGCGAAGCUGGGCGCCGCUCGUUGCCCGGAGGGGGCCGCUGCCCUCUCGCCCAGGGAAAGGGACUUGCAGCGAAGCCGCCGAGUCCAGACAUCUGGAGCGGGACCAAACAACCUCCUGGCAGUGGUCGGCGCCCCGGGCCCCUCCGGGCACUUGCUCGGGCGCAUCGGGGGGCAGCGCUGGAACGGCAGAUCCGCGAUCGGUGGAGACGCGGGGGCGGACAUGAGGAUGUGCCGUGCACGUGCACGCAGAAGAAAGCUUCCCUGAAGUCACAGGGGAUUGGCUCCCUAAUAAAUACCCGUAGAAUUGCAGCCCGACCCUACCUGUGUUUACUCGGAAGUAAGCCCCACUGACUUCUAUUGGAUUUGCUAGCAGGUAAGUGUGUACAGGAUUGUAGCUCUAGGGCAGCAUUCUAUGCGGUAUUUACUUGAAAGUAAGUCCUCACGAGUUCGGUGGGACUUGUUUACUUGUUGUAAGUGACUGAAUGGUUUUUCUCCGGUCCUUUUUGCAAACCAAACAGUCUUCCCAUAUCCUGGUACUGACAGCCCUGGAGGAGAAAAGCAGAACGUGUGAAUACACCUUUAACAUGCUAAUAGUGAAAUAUGCACAUGUAUGCAUUUAAAAAUGUAGGGUCCCGUUGCACUGGGGUUGCUGCAGUGCAUAUGCAUAAGUCCAUAUGCAUGACAGGAAUCUUCGUUACAUUCCAUAAGAUUGCAGCAGGGAUGUUUGCUUUUGAGACCCCUUGCAGCUGAUAAAAGUUGCAAAUGGGUGGCUUCCCCUGUUUGCUCAUGCAGUUCCUCACCGUGGUGUAAGGCUUUCCGCAGAUGCAGGCAGGCUUUUCUUUCAUUUAUUUAAAAGCAAUCUUCUGAUUAGACAGAUAAGGCAGAUGACCAGAUAAGUUCCAUGAGCCAGUGGAGCAAAAGCUGUAAUUCUUUGCGGUGGGUUUUUUGGGUGUGUGUGUGUGUGUGGUUCUUUCUUAUCACCAUGUCAAAUGGAAUAUUGUUGCCAUUUUCCAGAUGGGCACACCACACACUCCCCCCCCCCAUCAUUUGUUCCUUGGUGGCUCCGGGGCCAGUGACUCCAUGCUGCCCUCUACUGCUGGACAUCAUAGUAGCUGCAGUAAAAGCCUGCAUUUCCUCCCCAGGGGUGCCAUGGCUGGAAGGUUCCUUGGUGUGUGGGGAUUAAUCUUCAGCUGUUUUUCCUGCAGGCCCAGAAGAGAGACCAUUCCCCACAACUUCUGUCGCUGAUUGCCAGCCACACUCUGAAUGAAAGGCAAGUUGGAGGGCUAGGAGUAGUCAUGUGGGAGGCGGCCGUUCUCCUUCAACGUGAUGAGUGAGCGAAGGGACCUGGGACUGCAAUAAGGGUGGGGUGGCCUAACCUUGAGCAGUCCUGUGCAGGGGGGCGGGGCAGUUCAAACACCCCCACGCCGCCUGGGCAUUAAGUAGGUGUGAGUGCCUAACUUGGGUGCCAACCCAUCAUACAACAUUGGUGGAGGAGGAAGAACAGGAAAUCCCCCUGUGAUUGGCUCAGAACUUUAGUGCUUUAUAAGGAGGUUUCUGUUUUCAGCAUAGCCAGUCGCUCUGCAAGACCCCUUCUGAAUAAUGUUUUCUCUUUCUCUGUGGUUAACUUCCUCUAACUAUACUGUUUUGGAGAGUUAGGGGGUAUAUCUCCUCCUUUUCCAUGCUAAGAAAAUUCCUUUUUAAUGGAGGGCAGGAAGAAAAUAAAAAAAAUUGCUCUUGUGCAAAUACUCUCCCUUGUUUGUGUUUUUUUUUCUGAAUCUGGUUCAGAAAACUGGAUAACCUCCCUCCCCGGCCAAAUUCUGCCCCAUGUAGCUUUCGUCAGGUCCCCCGUCCCCGCCAAGUUUCUAGCUGGAAAGUCUUUGCACAUUUGCAGCCCUUGGUUGGUGGACGCUCUCUCUCUUACAGUUAAUUUUUUUCUUCAUACCUGGGUAACUGUUAAAUCUUGAGAAACCCCAGUCUUGUCUACAGAAAGCCUUCUUUCAUUGUCCGACUGAUCAGCACAGGCCCACUGUUAAAAAUGUAAUCGGAUCAGGGAAGUAAUUGGGCUUUGCACAAGAGAAAACAUAAACAAACCACAGAUAGGGACUGUUGCAGGUGUGUAUGUGUGUGUUCUGUAAGUUGACUUUAUCCUACGAAGCAAACAUGACUUCUGGAGGAUAAAUCAGUGCCCAGUUGAUGGGAGAGAAAAGCAAACAGGUGGUCCACGUUACUGUAUGAACACUGACUGGCAAUAAUGCCCUGAAUCCUGAAACUACAGAGAAUAGGGCAGUGAGGAGUCUUGGGGAUGAAGGCACAUGGAGCAGGCUUCAACUGCACUUUCUCUCAUUAAGCCUAUUACUGCAGUCUGAUUAAAGACAUUGUAAUUGAGCUGUCACCUAAAUAUAAAGGUAAAGGGGACCCCUGACGAUUAGGUCCAGUCGUGAUCGACUCUGGGGUUGUGGCGCUCGUCUCACUUUACUGGCCAAGGGAGCCGGCGUACAGCUUCCGGGUCAUGUGGGCAGCAUGACUAAGCCGCUUCUGGUGAACCAGAGCAGCGCACGGAAACGCCGUUUACCUUCCCGCCGGAGCGGUACCUAUUUAUCUACUUGCACUUUGACGUGCUUUCAAACUGCUAGGGUGGCAGGAGCAGGGACCGAGCAACGGGAGCUCACCCCGUCACGGGGAUUCGAACUGCCAACCUUCUGAUCGACAAGUCCUAGGCUCUGUGGUUUAACCUACAGCGCCACCUGCGCCCCUUGUCACCUAACUAUACAUAUGGUCAAAACAAUUUUGAACCAAGAAGCAUGUUCUCUUUGUUUUUAGAUGAUGCCUGCAUGUGUCUUCUUAUGAGGCAUUCCUUCUGUGUGAGAGUAGAAUGAGAAUGCCUCUUUUGUGAUAGUAUAUGCCACCUGCAGUUUUUAUAUAUAUAGUUGUGUUGCAAAAUCUAUAUUUCCCUUAACAGGGACACUUUUUGAGUCAAUGAUUUUUUUAAAAAUGAUUACUCUAAAUCAUUAAUUAAUUAAAUGUUGCAGCCUUGAUUACCACCCCUUUUCUUUUUACUUACUUUGUUUUUUAUAGGGCUGAGCGCUGAUACUGAAAAUCCAUGCUGAGCCCUGACACAAAUUAAGCCCAAGCAACAAUGAGGAAAUGUAACAGGGGUAAGACAAGGAAUGGGCUCGCAACUAGAUGCAUUAUACCGUAAAAGGAAAUGUCGUCAUAGUAGUAGUAAUAUAUAUAUAUUUAUAUAUUUAUACCCCACCUUUUUCCCUGACAGGGACUCCAGGCAGCUGAUAGAUAAAAGAAGAGCUAAAAACAAAGAAAAAACAACAACAAUUAAAAAACAAUUAAACAUUGUCAGAAUUAAAAGUAUAUAUUAUGUAGAUAGAUCAAAAUACAUUAAAACCAUACAGAUAAUCACAGCAAAAACAGCACAGCACCAGCCCUUUCAUUAAAAGCCAUCAAUUCCCCAAAGCCUGUUGGAACAAGAAAGGGAGAAUCAUUCAAAUAAUUGCACUGCUAGCAAUAUUUUCACAUUUGAGAGUUAAAUCAGCUUUAAUAUUUUUGUUUCUGCUGUUUAUAGACCACCCAUUGACCAAGGUCUUGUGGGCGGUUGCAGAAAACCAACAAAGCACAGAUACACCUCAACAGAAAGAUAGAGUAGAGAAACAUAGGGUGGCCCUUGCAUCUUCACCAAAGCUGGUGUUGUCCUGGCCGUCCAGGAAUUGUGACUCUGCCAAAGGCAGAGGUAAGUUGUUACUGGACAAAUCCUCUAGGGCUUUCAGUUUUUCUCCUUCUACUGCAAAUGUAAAACAGCCCCUAAUGAAAAUAUAAAGCAAACUAGUUCACAGUCUAAAUUUAUUUUCCUGUCCAAACUCAAAUAUUCGAAGAUUUCAGACCUUUCUCUCUCUCUCUCUCUCUCUCUCUCUCUCUCUCUCUCUCACACACACACACACACACACACACACACGCAAAAUAUGAGAGGAGUUUCCUAAGCCGCAUGAAAACACACUCAGGCUUAAGAUGGUUAUGUUUUGAGCAUGAGUGAAGCUUUUAAUUAUAAAGCUCUCCUGCUGUUAAUACUUGAGCUGAGGUUACAGCAUACUGAUAUUUCUGUGAGAAAGUAGCUGAAGGUAAACUGGGUCACUUUGGUAACCUUAAGGUCAUAUUACUGCCAUGCAGUUUAUCUGAUCUCUGAAAAGUGUUCAGAAUUCAGCACUAAAGCUGUUGGUGGUUGCCAUCCAGAGACUAUGAUACAGAACUGCCUUGGUCACCAGUUUGUGGGCCCAGUUCAAAAUGCUGAUGGUCUUCUUUAAAGGCCUAAACUGUACUGGACACACACUGCCUCCCCCAAAAAGCCACAAUAGUCCAAGUAACAAAGAGCCAGACAUUGUAUUUCAGAAACGGGUCACCCCAUUCCUGAUCCCCACGAUUCUCCACAACUCUGUGAGACUCUGGGGGCUUCUUGUCAGCAGCCCGACUUAAAUUAGGUGAUUGUAUAUGUACUUGCCCAUAAUGUUUGACAGCAUUAAAACAUGUGAGGUGUCACCUUUGAUAGAGUCUUCUCUGUGACUUCUCCAGCUUCUUGUUCCAUAGUUUCAAACACAGUUCUGUGGGAAAUUGCUGUCUCAUGUAGCUAUAGCAUGUGUAAUGCUAGUUAAUGCAAAAAGCAAUUAAGACCACAGAGUUGUAUUGCUAGACACAGCUAGGUCAUGCCCCUCACCUAGAAGGAAGGGAGUUAAAUUUCCUGCUUUGGUCAUUCUCUUUCACCAUGUGAACUCUCAGAUAAAGUUUGUGCCUGAGCCUGAACUUGCCCGCUAUUAGUUCAGACCAUGUGCUUAGAGCUGUUUCACUAUAUUUUGUACCCCAAUAUUUUUGCCUGUGUUUAUAUGCUGCUGCAUGGAUAAAUGCAUGAACCUGACUUUUGGAACUUUGUAAGUAAAGCAUUUUAAAACUUCCCAAGGUGUGUGGUCUGUUCAGUGCUAAGAGGGGUAGAAAUGGGGAAGCUCUGGUAGCGACUCAGAACAAGAAGUUUAAAAGGUUUAACAGCCUAUAUUCCCACAAUAUGCUGCUGCUUGUGACUUUUAAAUCUCUGCUGGGGGCUGUCUGUUGCUGGAGAGCAUGUUUAGCCCCAUGCUUUAGAUCUAGGGAUCCAGACAAUUCUUUUAUUAAUUACCCCACAUGUAUGAUCUACAUCUAUGAAUCUAUUUUCCCCACCUGCUCAUCUGAUCCAGCAAUUCCCAAGCUCACCCAGAUAAUCCUGUUUGCUGUCACAAUCUUUUGAUUCUCUUUCAACCAUACUGUAUUCUAUAACUUUCAGAGACAAACCCCUGGGGUUUUGUGUGAUGUUCAUUAUCAGUUCUUCAAACAUGAUUAAAUGUCUGCUUUCUUGCUCGCAUUAUUAUAACUGGGUUCAGCAAGAAGCUGCUUAAAUCGGAACAGGUUACUGACAAACUGUACAUCUUGACAGACUAUAGUCUUCAUGAAUGACGCAGAUUAUGAAGCAAUAACUUUGUGUAGGGGUACCAGAUGAGGUUGCCCUCUCCCCUCGCCCCUCCCCUUAUUUCUUCUUUCCUUGAAACCCUGGCCCAAUGAUUAAGAGAUGGCUGGGGGACUCAGGAUCGCCUCUCCAGUCUGCCCUGGCGCCAGGUCCUUCAAAGUGGCCCCUCAGGAUUAUGCACACCUUAUAUCAGGUUGGAACACUGGGUGGUCAUAAUAACAAUUUCUCUAAAUCCGAAUCGUAAUCAAUAUAAUCCCCUAACAUCUGUAUCUAUCUGUUCUUUAAAUUUCUCAAUUACUGGGAUGUCAAUGUAGAAAAAUUAGGGUGGGUGUGUGGACCUUUAUCCUGAAUUGCCCUGCCCCCACCCAUUUUUAAAGGAAAAUUGAAAAAGACACUAAGUCAUGGUCCAAACUCAACCUCUUCCUCUUGGAUAUGUUUACUUCACUGAAGAUGGCAGUCCUGCCCAAGCUGUUGUCCUCGCUUGUUCCUGUGGCUUGAACAAUCAGGGUGGGGAACUCUGACAAAUUGAUUCUGAUGAAUGGGUGGGAUUUCCUGCACAUCCAAUGCUUAUGAUUCUUUUCAGAGUAAGCAUUUAUUAUCCUUCCUCUGGAAUGAUCUGCUUAAGCCUUGGGCUGACUUGGAGGCCUGUAAUUGGAAUAGCACCUUGACCCAGACAGUUUCCCUGUUCCCACAAGAAAUGAAAGGGGGUUGAGAACUCCUUUUUUUGGGUGGAAUUCGCAGAGGAAUCUUGCUCCUCCCAUCUCUCUUGUUCUUCCCUUCUUACAUUGUCAUCCUCCUUUCUGUUGUCAACGUAGAGGGCCACUUCGAAGAAUCUUAAAACACAGGGAAUUGUUCUUGUUUCUAUCAUGAUAAUACUCCUUUUUCAGAAGAGCAACUCAAAGGCAAGUUGGAGGCACCCUCUGUGAACUGGUUGUCUGUAUAUUGGAUUCAUUGCUUUUUCUCAGACGGGACAGUCAAGUAUCUGGGUCGCUGCCUGAUUCAGCGGACAACUGCUUAGAAGCCACUUUGGCAAGUAGGCAGCACGUAAAUAAAUAAAGUGUGAACAAUGGACUCAAAAAAUGCACAGGGGUGAAAGAGGGUGGUGGGAUCCUUGCAGGAAGAUGCUGGGACCACUUUUUAAAAUAUCCUGCCUCAGAAUUUUACAGAUGUCCCCAUUUGAGAUCCAAGAGAUUCAUGUUAGCACCAUCUGUGACGUUGCAAGAUAUCCUGGGGUCUUCUAGUCAUCAGAUGGUGCAGCGUAGCCGCUCAGGCAGCAAAAUGUCUUGGGGGGGGUGGCUCCAAUAAAUUAGGUUGCACCACUGUUGUGAAGUAAGAAUUAAAUAUAAAGGUCAGACAGAAACCAGAGCCCUUGUUUACAAAAUACACACUGCUGACAGGGGAAUUGUGUGUUCUGUCCCCACCGCCACCCCCAAGUCUGCACACUGCAUUUCCUCCGCAGAAAAGUGGUGCUGGAGUAGAUCCAGAUUAAGUGGUCCACACAAAGGUAUGACAUCUAAACUGCUGCUUCCAUCAGAGAAGCUAUUUUUCAGCACUAGCACAAUGAGGAAGAUUUGCCAAAAACACUCACUGCAGACAAAGCCCGAAGCAGUUCGUUUCACCCUUUCUUUGGUGCUUCUGUGAAUGAAUUGAGCACCCAUGCAUGUGCUCAGCAAAGCACUCAAGGCAGAGCCAAACAUACUUUAAGGAUAAAGCGAGUGAAGAACCCGAGUGCUGCUUUCUCAAAGGCAGUUGCUAGGGAAGAUUAAAGAUCUCUCCAGGGAACUGCAUGCUGUCAUCAGCUCAAAGCUCUCACAGAAGCUGAGCUUCUUAUGUUCACUGCAAUAAAAGCAACAGCACACAGGACAUCAUCUUACCAUGAGAGGUUUUGUCAAACAGCCCAAGGCCAGAGAAAGUCAGCAGCCUAAGCUGUUUCAGAAGAGCUUUUCUCCAGUCCCAACAGUUGUCUUUAUACCCAAUAGAAAACACUUAUUUGGUAACAGUAUAAAAUAUAACAUAUUAUAAAAUUAUAUUAAAUAAUAGGAAAUGUUUAUUUUAUGGUCCUAUUUAUUAUAGGGCCAUAGUCAUGGUUAAGUGAAGUCAACUGAAUUGCAUCCCACCAUUACAGUGAGAAAUCAGGAGGGGAGUCAGGUAGUUCGAAGAUGGUUCAACAGAUCAGCAGUGUGGAAGCAGUAAGUAUGAAGGUGGUUUCUGCCGAACUUGGGGUAGAAAAGAGAGGAAAUGGGUUAUUUUGAAUUAGUUAAAUGACAUGUAUUGUGCAUUUUUCUUCCAUAGACUUUGCUGGGGUGGAUUUUCCAGAAGGAUUUACCCAAUUAUUUUGGGGUGUAUCUAGCUAGGUUCUGCUCAAGAGUAGAUGUAUGGAAAUUAAAGGAACCUAAGUUAGUCAUGUCAUUAAUUUUGGUGGGUCUGCUUUGAGUAGGUUUAACAUUGGAUACAAUCCAAUGCAUUUUGGGGAAAUGGGUCAUUGUUUUAGGUCAGUUGGUUGUACUCGUGCCCAUGAGUUGUGUUUGUAAUUUUUAUUUAAAAGGCACUUUGUUGGCCAGUGUUAAUCAAUGGACUUGUUGGGGCUACUGUUGCUAGGCAGUACUUCUGGCCAGUCUGGGACAAUAGAAGCUUGCCGUUACUAGGCAGGAUUCUCACAUCCCAAACUUCAGCCUUCAGUUUGCAGUUCAGGUAGAAGUUAGGUAUGAAAGGAGGUGGGGAAAGCAAAUCACAGGAGAUAAAUGGAAAUAGUUUGAGAUGAAUGGGGAGAGGGAAAGGAAAAUGAUAUCACAGAUGCACAGCAACUGGAUUCCAUUUUUUAUUGGAAAAAAUAUUUUUAUUGCUUUUAUAUAUAGAUAAACUAUAGCAAAACAUAAGAAGCAUGAAGCAGGGACCAGGUGUACAAGCAAAAGAAAACACAGGAUGUAUACCAAAUUUUCACAUAUUAAUGUUCAAAAUGUUUUGUGUGCUAUAUAGGGAGUUAGUUACCAUCAACAACAAAGUAAGGAGACUUCCAGAUUUCUGUGUCUAGAAGCCCAUAUGUGGAGGCAAACUGGAGAAAGGUCCACCCCUCCUUGAUUUGUUUAAGGAACAAACCUUUGCCUUGUGGCAUAAAAUGCAUCAGGUGUCUUUAGUCCUUUUAGUGUUCUCACUUGGUGGGUUAUCUUGCCCAGAGUUGCUGUUUUCGACAUAUUUCUAUGUCAUAAUGUUAAUGUCCAAGUCUGUUGAGGUUUUCCAUAUUUGGGCAGUUGAUGGAUGGGCCGCAGCAUUGAGAAAGAUGUGCAAUUCAUUAAAUUUAAUGUCAGUCUUAGGACCCACAAUUAUAGGUAAUAGUAGCCAUUGAGGAGUACAUUCAUUGUACUCCUUUAGUAUAUUAGCAGUUUCCCAGAACAGAGCUACUAGGCAAUACCCCAUUCCUACAAUUUUGCCCACAAGCCAGUGAAAUCUCUGAUGUUACGUGAGGACGUGGCACAGGUGUCCUGCCCUACCUGUGCCAAAGCUUAAUCGUACUCUCUCGCUCUAAUGUAUGCUGGCAGAGGGUCAUAUCCAGCUCUGCUGUUCUGCUAUCUCAGGAGACUUCGGCUUGCAAAGUGAGACUUUCCCCAUCCCUUCUCUCCCUUGCAGCCUCAAAAUCAGCUCCAGAGGGCUGGAACAUCACCUGGGGAAGAUUUUGAGGGUGUAAAAGGAGAGAAGAGGAAACUUCAUUGUGUGAGUGGAAAUUAGUGCAUGCCGUGUUGGAUGCAACCCACAGGCUGGAAAGUUUUGAAUUCCCACAUCUUAACUCUGAUGACUACUAGCUGUUGUGAUUAAUAGGUAAAAGGUAAAGGACCUUUGGAUGGUUAAGUAAAGUCAAAGGUGACUGAGGUUGCGGUGCUCAUCUCGCUUUCAGGCCGAGGGAGACGGUGUUUAUCCACAGACAGCUUUCUGGGUCAUGUGGCCAGCAUGACUAAACCACUUCUGCCACAACGAAACACCGUGAUGGAAACCAGAGUGCACGGAAAUUCCGUUUACCUUCCCGCCACAGUGGUACCUGUUUAUCUACUUGCACUGGUGUGCUUUCAAACUCUUAGGUUGGCAGGAGCUGGGACAGAGCGACUGGAGCUCACCCAGUCGCAGGGAUUCGAACCGCCGGCCUUCUGAUCUGCAAGCUCAAGAGGCUCAGUGGUUUAGACUACAGCGCCACCCGCAUCCCUAUUAGUGAUUAAUAAAUUGAUCAUGAUAAUAGUGAUGGUAGGUCUCAAAUCUGCCUUUGAUUUGAUAACCCAAGGCAGAAGUUGUCAACCUUUUUGAGUCCACAGCUCCCCUGACCAACUGCGUUCUUUCUGCGGCUCCCCUGGAGGGAAACGUGCUCUGAGUCUCAGGAGCUCCCCUUGCCUGCCGAGCUGCCCACCCCUCACCUCUUUUGCAGAGACCCUUCCUUGUGGAGGGUUCCCUCAGCCUCCUCUCCCCUUUCCUCAAGAAUCUUUGCCCGCUUGUUUACUUACCCUGAGGCCACCUUGGCUCUCGGCAACCAGUUCUCAGCUCUCCUGGCCAGCCCCAGAGGCUGCUUUCACCUGGAGAACUUGUAGCCUGGGCCGCUACAAAAAAACAGCUGUGCAAGCCUUUGGGAGGCAGAGACACGAGAGGGCAUCAGAGGAGGGAAGGAAGGAAAGAGGGACAGAGGCCAGUGUUGCCCACGGCGUGCCUGACCACCAUUCAAGACGCCCCAGGGUGCCACGGCGCACUGGUUGAAAACCACUCACCUAGGGGAUGGUUGCAGAACAACCAAAAGAGUGCAUCAAUUGAUAAAAGUCUGUUUUAUCUCACGGAACAAUUACAGUUGGAAAGUAGAAUGGAAAUCAGAUGUUGUGUAGGAGGUCCUCUGUCAAAUUCUGUUGCAACUGCGAGAGGAAUUAGUGUUGUAGUCUAGCUCCCCUUGUUCCCUGAUUUAACUCUCCAGAACGUCAUAAACUGAAAAUUUGCAGAAGCCAGAAUGCCUCCAGACUUGUGUAUGUGGACGAUGCAGUCCUUCUCUCAAACACAGUUAGGCCUGAAACAUGUGUUAGAGGAAUGUUCUAACCUUUACGUAUAAGAAUGAAGCUCUUGCAAUUCGUUGUGGUAAGACUAAGGGAUUUUUUUUUGCUUAUUCUUAAAAAGUAAUGAAAGAUAAAUGGCUCUUUUGAUGGCUACCUACGUGUUUUUAACUUUUUAUGAUUUUAUCGCUUGGUUUCAUAUUUUUAUACUGUUGUAAACAGCUGUGGUAUAUCUUUAUGAUACAGCAGUAUAAUAAAUAUUUUAAAUAAAUAAAUAAAUAAAGCUAUUAUAUAGUUCUCUAUCUCCAAAUCCCUGAAGAGGAUGCAGAGGCAGAGGGAGUUUGGCCUACAUGCAGUAACACUGUCCUGGUGUGGAAGACUAUUGGUAGGGUUAUUUUUGACUACAGUGGAACCUCGGAUUACGUACCGUCCUCCUUACAAAUUCUUUGGGUAACAAGCUCCGCUAACCCGGAAGUAGAUGCCCCUUGUUGUGAACUUUGCCCUGGGGUGCGAGCGGAAGUUGUGCGCCGGCAGAGGCCCCAUUAGCGAAAGCGCACCUCAUGUUAAGAACGGUUUCAGCUUAAGAACGGACCUCUGGAAUGAAUUACGUUUGUAACCGGAGGUACCGCUGUAUUGCAGAAAGAACUGGACAAAUGAUAGGGCUCAAGUUGAGAGCCCAGCCUUGUUAUCACUAUUAAUAAGGAGCUACUUCACAAAGAACGUAUUAGGAUGGAGGUGAAUAAGCAUUGGAAAGAUGGGGAGGAACUUUCCACUAAACAGUAGAUAGAAUGAGCAAGGAACAUUAUUUUAGCUGAAGAACCUGCACAUCAAAUUAGGCAAGGGAUUGGGGGGGAAAUGAUUUAUUCAUGACAACAUGGUAUCCAUUUAUUGUUUAUGCUCCAUUUAUUGUUUAUGCCAUCAAAGAUUUAUCACUAUGUAGUCUGCCUAAUUCUUGGAGCAAGUUUUGGCAGUUUUUUUUUCUGAAUGAGGAAAACAAUUGUUAAGAUUUUUGUAGUGUAAGACGUGAAGAAAAUGUACCAGCAGUUCCAAGAAAAUUUGUAAAACAUUAUUGGAAUAAAGUGAUAGCUCUCAUCUUGGUUUAUUGCUGUUUACAGUUUGUUAAUACCACUGUUUUGUGGGAUAAAUCAGCCUCAUAUAACCAACAUGUAUAACUCUAAUGAAUGCACAAAGAGGUUAAGACCAUAGAGUAAGCUGUCCUGUCAGGCUUACCUAGGACACUGCCCCUCACCUUGGGAGGAAGGGCUCCCAAACUCUUUGUUCUCUCACUUGAACCCUACUAGUAAGGAGGUCUAAGCUGGAUGCGCGGCUUAAACAAGCUAUUUUUGUGAUUCUAUACAAAUAAUUUAGAAACUUGGCAUUUUUUAACCCAAGUUAAACUGCCUGUCUUUUUUUUGCUGCUGUAUGGAAAAGCACAUGAAUCUGACCUCUGAGGAGUUUGUAAGUAAACAGUUUUUAACUUCCCAAACGUGUGGUCUCUUUCUGUGCUAUGGAAAGUGGGGAAUUUUGGAAGCAACUUAGAAGGGGAUAUUUUAAAGUACUAACUGCCUAUAUUUCCACAAUUUACUAUGCUGCAUAUAUUGUGAUUUUAAAUCUCUGCUGGGGCUCUCACCUAAAAGUACUUGCCCCGAACCUGGAUCUUGGCGUCCAGGAAAUUCUCCUUCUCAUUAUACCUAAAAUAUUUCUCCUUUUAACCAAACAAAUGACGUUUUCUGGGGCAUUGUCUGCAUCCUGACAUCAGGAAGAUUGGAGCUGUCAUAAGAGCUGUUAGUUAAGCAACGAAGUUCUCAGGCCCUGAUCCACAAAAAGUGCUUGUGCAUGUCCUCUUCCCAGGCAGAUAGCCAGGUGCUUUGGCAGUGACUCUGAAGAUCCUCCCUGGCUUGCGCUCCUGUUCCGGUGGUCUUCUUGGGUGUUGGAGAACUGACUAGGAACCCAGGCAGCUGGGUAAGGACCUCCAGUCCUGGGGCAGGGGUAGCUCCUCAGGUUCAUUGGUAGUAUGGAGAUCUGCUGGAGGUUCCAGCUGCCCUUGCUCCUUAUUUGAGGAGACCUCAGGUUAUCAGUCUGAGCAAUGCUGAAUCCUAACAGUUAGCCUGAGAAAUAAAUAGCAAUAUAUCAAAUAGUAGAAAUCAUCACGACCACCUUGCAACCAUGAAAGAGGUGCAUGAGUUUGCUUGGUUUCCUCUUCCCUACCCAUCCCACUUUCCUUUUGUGUUUUGCCUUUUCAAUUGAAGGCUUGCAUUAUUUUUGUUGAUAGAAGCUGCUUUGGGAUCUUUUUCAGCUGAAGAGUGGAAGUAUAAAUGCAUUGAGUGAAUGGAUUGAUGAAUAAUAAUAAAUAUAACAAGCCUCUCUCCCACAGUAAAUGGAGCAGUGAUAGAAUUAGAAGAGGUAUGCCUUUGUACCCUUAUAGCUUGCUUGAAGAACAGGAAGCAGAGAGUAGGCAUAAAUGGACAGCUGUCACGAUGGAUGGAUGUAAGAAGUGGAGUCCCCUGUAACUUGUUCAUAAAUGAUCCGGAGCAGGUAGUGAACUGUGUGAUGAGACCAAAUCCUUCAGGCAGGUAAGAGCAAAAGGAAUCAAGGGUAGCUCCAAACCAGGCGAUUAGUCAUUAAAAUAGUAGAUACAGUCCACUCAGAGCUGGCACCAGGUUUGAGAGGGCCCCGGGGAACAUGGAUUCCACCCUCUAUCAGUGGGUCCUGGUGGACUUACUUAGCUGUGGUGACAGGGCUGCAAGGUGACAUGGUUCAGCCACCAUGUUUCAAUAUUAGGUUCACAGUAUAAAAAUACAAAAUAAAAACACAAAAUACAUAAUAAAAACAAGAAUACAACAAUACCCCCCCAUUUAAAAGGACAUAGACUGUUAAUCAGCUCAAGGCCUGGUUGAAUAAUUUUUGCCUGGUGUUUAAAGAUCAGGAAGGCUUCAGGCGAGUCUCUGGGGAGAACAUUUGACAAAUAGGGAACCACUGCAAAAAAAGGUUAAACAGGUACAGUGGACCCUCCGGAUACGAAUUAAAUUUGUUCCAAGGGUCCAUCCACAACCCAAAAAGUCUGUAGGCAGAGGCACCGCUUCUGCACAUACAUGUGGUGUGAUCGAGCGCUUCUGUGCAUGCGUGCGCGGCGAAACCUGUAAGUAUACACUUCCGGGUUUGCCACGUUCAUAACCUGAAAGUUACGUAUCCAGAGUGGUACGUAACUAGAGGGCCCACUGUACUGGCUGCAAAGACAUGUUUCCUGAGAUACAGAAGAAGAGAAAUGAGUUGAGUGUAAUUCCUAUAUGACCAACACAAUGAAUGUAAAGGACAAAGAGAGGAAAGAUAAUUCAGGGAUAACCUCUUCCAAAAUUAAUGACCAGGUGGAAUGGUCAAUGCAGACUGAGAGGGAAGACAGUUAUAGGGGGAUAGCAAGAUGAGUCUUUGCAAGAUGAAUAAUGCAUCUAAAGUUUAAUAUUGUUUGGGUGAAUUAACAAAAUUCUAACCCAUCGUGGCGUGACUGCACUGCACGUUUAUUGGAGACACUGCAGACUGACUGGAGUAUGUGCACAGAGUGUACAAAACAGGAUAUGCAUGUUCCCCAAGGCCUGUUGGGAAUUAUCUAUAAGGGCCAGAUAAUAUACAAAAUUCAGCUGAGAUGUGUACCGUAUUUUUCGCUCUAUAAGACGCACAAGACCAUAAGACGCACCUAGUUUUUGGAGGAGGAAAACAAGAGAAAAAAAUUCUGAAUCUCAGAAGCCAGAACAACAAGAGGGAUCGCUGCACAGCGAAAGCAGCGAUCCCUCUUGCUGUUCUGGCUUCUGGGAUAGCUGUGCAGCCUGCAUUCGCUCCAUAAGACACACACACAUUUCCCCUUACUUUUUAGGAGGGAAAAAGUGAGUCUUAUAGAGCAAAAAAUACGGUACUUUGCCCAAAGGCAAGUUUAUGUACACAGUUCCCUCUUCAUUGAAGGAUUAUGUGUAUGUUCUCCAUGAGGCCUGGUGAAUGUGCACAAUGGCUGGCUGUGAUACACAUUAACCACUCAAUUUAUAUUCCACUUAACACACACAGGUUUAGACUAGUAUCUAUUGUGAGCAGUAAUGGUAACUUCUCUCUCAAAAAUGUAUAGUAGUAUUAUUCAAAAGUGAAUAAUAGAACACUAUGUAGAUUAUCAUCAUCAUUACAGUUCUUGAAGCCCCAGAGUGAUUGCAUAGCUCCUUGUAUAAACAAAACUGUUUUCCUAUUUCCUAUGAAAGCUGUUCUUCCAGCCUACCCCUUCAAGUCUGCAUCAAAGAAUGACAUAUUUCUGACGUAUUGCGUCACAAAGAGCCAUUCUGUCUACCAGGAACAAUCACAUGGAAGCAGCUUUUCUGUUCUAAAAUGAAAGGCCAAAAUUGGGUUGAAUAGCCUUUCUACAACCACAGUAGAACGUAUCGCCUCACAAUUGUACAAUGAUCCACAAUAUUAAGUGCUGAUAGCUAUUUAAAAAUGCUUGCAGGGGAAAAAACAGCAGCUUUCUCUCCACACCUCCAUGUAGAUAUAUUCCAAAAUACAGUUAUUAUGGGAACAGGUUAAAAGUGAGAUAAGCCUGAGUCAUACAACAGAAACUCAGCUUCUUCCAAAAGACUGUUUGCUGGGUAUACUGGCAAAAGAGAGAGCCUGAACAGUCUGUCUAAAAUGUGUCAUUUUAUUCGUGCUGGGGAAAUGGGGGGGGGGGGACGACGACGAUGACUUACAUUUAACAAUUAGCAGUCUAAUCAGUCUAUUCAGUCUAUCUCAGCAAAUAGCAAGUAUAUCCAUAUCCCCACUCCUGGAAUUACUAACAUACUGUUGCAACAUGAAUGGAAGGAAAGGACUGGUUCACACAUGGCAUUUCAUCACUAGAUGGCUGCAACAUCACUUGAUGGUUUGCAUGUUCCAUCCCCAGAUAAAUUCAGCACAGACCAAACUGCUUAACAUGCAAGUAUGCACCGAGGCCAUCGUAAUUCUGAUUCCAGUUACUGCAAGAGGAGUGUGCCGUUAAUAUGCUAAUCUUUUCCGGUAAGUGGGUAUUUCAAUUAAUUAAAAUAUUAAAUAAAGACUGGGGAAACAGGUCAUUGACCCAUGAUGGGCAUGAUGACCUGUCAUCAUCCUAUGCUGAAUUUUCAGUUUUCAGGAUAGGUAUCGUAUCUGACAUAACAUCUGUUUUGCAGCAGCUGCAUUCCCAGUUUAUGUCCCCUGUUAUGGCUCCUGCCAACCUAGCAGUUUGAAAGCACGUCAAAGUGCAAGUAGAUAAAUAGGUACCGCUCCGGCGGGAAGGUAAAUGGCAUUUCCGUGUGCUGCUCUGGUUCGCCAGAAGCGGCUUAGUCAUGCUGGCCACAUGACCUGGAAGCUGUGACGCCGGCUCCCUCGGCCAAUAAAGCGAGAUGAGCGCUGCAACCCCAGAGUCUGCCACUGGACCUAAUGGUCAGGGGUCCCUUUACCUUUACCUAUGGCUCAGAGGCUUCUAGGAGCAGCAGGUGAGCACCUCUGGUCUGGUUCCAUCUUGGUUCAAGUGGAGCUCAUCCCUUUUGGACAGCCCCAGCUUGUCCUAAAGGACUGCUCAGUGUCCAGCAAAUCCCAAAUACCACUCAUGCAGUGAUUUAAGUCUCAGUGAAUUAAUGACAAAGGUAAUCAUAGCAAUGUCAUUUCCUGAUGAUGUGGACAAGGUGUGGGGAAUAAGAAUCACAUAUCAAGGUUUCUACACUUUUCACCCAGACUCUCACAUGAGAAUGAGGAAAUCCCAGCGUGUGGAAUAAUGCAAAUGCUUUUGAAACACACUCAUUCUGCAUUGCAUAAGGGACCUUCCUUGGAAGUUUGCUGUGAGGUGAGAGAUCUGUUAUUUGGGGAUGGCUCUUUCCACCUGCCUUGCCACAACCUCUGGCCCUGGGAACCUUUAGGAGGAAGCUUCUUCCUGGACUGUGAGGAGAACCGGGUGGGAGGCACAGAAAUUUAAGAACUACCUUUAAGAGAGGACUCCGCAUUCUACGUUCAAUUUGUGUUUUUUGUAGCUGCUUUUGUGUUUUAUUUGGAUUAGUCUUCUAUAUCUUACUGCAUUAUGAAUAACUUUAAUAAAAAAAUUCACAUGCAGAACUGUGAGGAGAACUUGUGGUCUGUUGUGGCCGCAUAAAUGGGUUGCUAAUUGACCUAAUGUUGCUAAUUGACCAAACGGUCAAUAAUGGUGAACCUGUGCUCACUUUUUAAUAUUUUUAAAAUGAAUUGUUAAUGGUUGAAUUAAUAAUUCUACAACUGAAUAUGAUAUUGUAGUUUAUUAUGUAUUACAAUUCUGUUUCUGUAGAUUCUCUAUUUUCUGUAAACUGCUUUGGGUACAAAUUUUGGGUUUGUGGAAAAUGCAGCGCAUAUAUAUAAAUUGAAAAUAACUUUUUAUUACUAGGUAAACUAGAGGCCACAUAAGCAAUUGCACUUUCUUUUCUUCUUGUCUGUCCAUUUUAUAGUUUUGAAAAUAUUCAACCAUUCAGCUUAAAAAAUAACAUUUUAUUUCAGAAUUUUGUACUUGAUUCAAAAAAACUUUUCACUAGUUAAAUCAACUCUAUUUUAUUAGAGCUAAGUUUAAUCAAUCGAUUAAUGCUUUAGCUCGUGGGGGGGGGAACCUUUUUGAAUCGGAUACAAAAUUUGGAAAUAAAAUAUUAUUUUAGGCUGAAUGGUUGAGUAUUUUCAGCCAUCUAAAAAUUGAUCUACUUCCCCUUUAAAAAAAGAGACAACAGCCCAAAGCAACCAACUGGCUGUUUCAAAGGGACUAAGUAUAUCCUUGUCUUUAUCUUUGAUACGGUAAUUACAUUUUCUCAAUUUGUAAGCUCUUUAAGCUGUGGUAGGGAUUGUAUAAUAGGCACAAGUGAGCUAAAAAUACAUUUCAUAUUUAACUGCCUAAUAACCGGCAACUGAGGGAAACAGGAGCCACAUAUGAAAACAGGAAGUUCCUCUCCUCAAGCUGCAUUUUUCUGAUAGGUAGGAUUUCUUAAAGCCUUUGCUAAAAUAAUAACCCCCUUCAAGUUUUAAAUAAAAGCAGAGUUGUUGGCCAUUGUUUAUAGCUCUGCGUAGCUGAAAAGCAGUGACCGUAUUAUAUUAAGAGGAGCUUAACUGAGUCCUGGGAACAGGCGCUAAAUUUAGCACCUUUAUUUGCAACAGUAAAAAGCUUCAGUUUUAAAUUCCGUUUUGACUCAGUAAUUCGGUGCCGAUACCCUAUGUGGUCUGCAUGUAGCAAAGUGACCCCGAUUCCAAAUCUAACUUGAGUCUGAAAUGAUGGGAUGGAUUUUGUUAAUUUGGGCCCUGCUAGGCCUUCGCUAGGGACAUGGGUGGCGCUGUGGGUUAAACCAGAGGGCUUGCCAAUCAGAAGGUCGGCGGUUCAAAUCCCCGCGACGGGGUGAGCUCCUGUUGCUCGGUCCCUGCUCCUGCCAACCUAGCAGUUCGAAAGCACGUCAAAGUGCAAAUAGAUAAAUAGGUACUGCUCUGGCGGGAUGGUAAACGGCGUUUCCGUGUGCUGCUCUGGUUCGCCAGAAGUGGCUUAGUCAUGCUGGCCACAUGUAUGCCGGCUCCCUUGGCCAAUAAAGUGAGAUGAGCGCCGCAACCCCAGAGUCGGCCACGACUGAACCUAAUGGUCAGGGGUCCCUUUACCUUUACCUUAGGCCUUCGCUAUCUACUCCUCCAAGCUGUUUGUUCCGGUUUAGAGCUAAAGAGCAGGUUUUCCCUGGGAAAUGAGCAGGGCAAGGCAGAAACUUCUGACCCGUGCCUAGGUAGCACAGGGCAAGCGGCAGUGUCGAUUUUGGUGUAAGCUGCUUGGAACUUUCUGCAAGGAGAAACUCACUAAGACCUGGGCAGAAAGUGAAAAAAGCGUGCUUAGCAGGUGCAACGUGCGGGAGGAGGAAGAUGCAGGAGGUGACCGUGGGGAUGGUUUGGGUGCAGGGGGGCUGCACAAAAGGGGAGGGAGGAGGCAGGGACCAGGGAGUGAAGGAGAACACGGAUACAGAGUGGGACUGCAGAGCAGAAGAGAGAAGCGGCUUCGGGUCUGGGGUUGGGAAAGGGAAAGGCAGCUUGUACGAGGUUAGAAGAGGAAGCUGCAUGGAGUUAAUGGUGAGGGAAAUCACUGGCGGAGGAACCAUAGCUGUCAACUUUCAGAUUUGAAAAUAAGGGAUCAGCAGCCUCGAAAAUAAGGGAUCAGCAGCCUCUCCUGUCCCGGGGACAGUCUACGGGAUAUCUAACAAUCCGGGAUAGCAGCGGGAAACCGAGCUGGAAUAAGGGAAUUUCCUGCAAAAAAGGGGAAGGUUGAUAUCUAUGGUAGGAACGGGAGUACGGAGCGAGCGGCCCACCCCUGGCACCACUAUUCCGGUAGGGUGCCAUCACGGCGGCCCCCCUGGACAUGUGCCACGCACCCCACACGCUGGGUGCCACAACCUUGUGGCCGGUUCGCCACGCCCUCGUGGGUGGCGUGCCACACCCCUGGGAUGCGUGCCGUGCCCCCACAAGCGGUGUGCCAUGCCACGCCUCCGCAGGCGGCAUGCCACGUCCCCAGGAGGUGCGCCAGGCCCCCGUGGGCACCAGCCACACCCCCGCCUGCUCUCCACCCCCGGUAGCGGAGCAUGCAGCUUCGUCCCUGGGAGGAAUGGCAGGGAUGAAGCCCUGCGUAACCUCAUAUAAUACAAGUCCACUCACCUCUCUUGGUGCAGCAGCCUUCCCCAAUGGUGGAAUUCAAACAGCAGUGCCCUUCCUGAUAGUGGAGCGGGCAUAUGCCCCCACUGCCUAUCAGGAGCUGGAUCUUAGCCUGCCCUCUACAUUGGCGAAUGGGGAUGCAGGCUGGGAUGUGGCCGGAGCCAAUAGAGCCGACGGUGGGCUUCCCUCAGAUCCGCUCCCUGCCCAUUUAAGCAGCCCACACCUGGGGCACAGCCUGUUUGUUCCUGCGCCGGGCUCCCCCACAUCCACCGUUUACGCUGAUAGGCAAUGACUUUGCUGUGGCUGCGGUGGUCGCCGUUCUUUAAGGGGCCUGGUAGGAAUUUGCCCACCGGGCUAAUUGGCACUGACCUGGUGGUUUUGCCUACCUCAUAGCAAUUUGUCACAACUGGUUGAGCACUGGGGCAAUCCCUUGUUUGGGACGGAGGGGAGGUUGUAGUCCCUGCCUGCCCCUCCAAAUGCUGGGGUAGCCCAUUAAAAGGAUCCGGGGAGAGUGGCCACGUCUGCGUGUACAGGGGGCCAGGGCCAAAGGCACUCCCCCAGACAGCGGUCCCUGUGGGGGUCACCCUAUUGGAUGUAAGUCUUAGGAACUCUUCCUUGAUUGACCAUGCAUCACUUCCGGGGGACGGGCCGAAAGUAUUUAGAUUGCCCCCUUGCCCAAACCAAACCUCUUUCAUCUGUAUUCAAUAAAGUGGUGGCCUGUUUUUAACUCAAACCCAGUCUUAUUGGUCUCUUAUUUGUAUGGGUUGGGGUCUGGGAAGUCUGAUGGCUGGUCCUGCAACAGUGCUGCCAAGGGGAGUAGUACUACUACCUUUUGGUGACCCCAGAGGCAGCUGGCUUAUUGCGAAGCUAUGGGCUGGAAGUUAUUGUCCAUUUUUAAGCACACGCCGACUGGGCUUUUUCCCCUUGGGCUGCUCCUUUACCACUCGCACUGGUAGUUAGAUGGAGCGGGGCUCUCAGCCGGACCUGUACUCCGGCGUGGUGGAGGGGCCCAUGAGUGUGGUGUCUUCUCCCUUUGGUCUCAGAAAUUUAUGUUUGGAAAAUAAAAUCUGAUAUUCUCAGGUUUCCAGUUUAGCCAACUGCUAAGAAUAAACCUUUGUUGUAAGCCACUUAUGCCUCAAUCUUUUUCAUGUUUCCUUAGAUGUAAACGACACUGUUCUAAAUUUGUUCCCAGGUAAACGUGCAGAGGCUUGCAAUUUCUGAGUUGUUCUCAUGUAAUCGUGUUUUGUAAAAUGAUCAUAAACAAACUUGAAAACACAGAGCUCUACAUUCAGUACAAAGCAAAGAGGUAUGGGACCUUUGAGAGCUCUUUGGGCUUCUUGGUUUGAGUAUUUGUGUGGAACCAGGGCUUGGGGUGAGUCACUUGCUUCUUUUCUGCUAAAAAAGCCAAUUGCAACUUUAUCAAAAUCUGCAAUUUUCAGUGGAUUCAGGCUGAAUGAAUGACCGCUAGUAUUCACUAGUCAGUUUUGUUUGCUUUUUUGCUAGUGAAAAUCACAGUACAAGCUGUCAAUAAGAAUAAUAUGAAUGGAUGGGCGUUAUAUUAAAAAUGACAAUUGACCAGCAAGAUUCUUUACAAAAUGAAAGAGUUUGAAGUGGACAUUUAAAAUUAUAGCACAGAGGUGACUGGGAUUUAUAUGAAGCUUAAUUAUUUUUAGCUACUGCAUUUUGAAAUUAAGAUAUUUGGCACUACGGUUUGUCUCUAAAGCAGAAAACGGAUGUGUUUUACAUUUCUUUGAACAAGAAAUUCAUGACACACUAUGUGAAACCACGAAUGAACCCUGGAAUGAGACAUAUUCCCCUAAGGAAGACUUGUUGUGUCUGAAUAGGUUAGUUCCACUGUGUUAGCUUUAAAAGUGUGAUUUUUACCUGGUACUAUAUAGGAUAUUUACUUGAAAGGAUAUUUUAACCCUCUUGUGGCCAGGCAGACUUGUAUAUACGCCCUCUCUAAAGCACUAUAAUAUAGGAGCAAACCUAGUUAUAAAAUGAGGCAAAAUAGUAAUAAUUUGGGAGAACAAAUAAGGAGGAUUCCCCUUCAUGUGACACUUUAAAAAUAAUUCACCAACAGCAGUAUGUUUCAUUUUUUAUUUACUUAUCUCUCCAUGUAGCUUGUACCAUGUGGAACAAACCUUAAGAAUGGGUAGGAUCUGUAAAUUAGCUAGCUGUCAGAACCCUGCACCCCUGCUUUCUGUGCUAUAUUUUCAGAGAGUUAAUGGAGCAUAAGUUGCUAAAAGUGUGAAAUGGGAAGUUCCUGAUUCAAAUAUCACCUCAAGCAGCCAUCCAGUUGCCUUAAGCAAUCCAUUGUUCUGCCUGCCUUUGCUCCCCAUUUCAGGUAUGAGAAUAGCAAUACUGGAUUGUUAUAGGACUGUUGUAAGACCUACGGUGGUAAUAAGUGUGGCACACCAGAAAUGCGCUGUGUAACUGCUAACUCUUGUCUUCAGACAGCAUACCCCCCAAAACCCUGCAUAUUCCAUCAAUAUAAGCUUGUCCUCUGCCCUGAUCCUGAUUUUAUUCCCAAGGUGAAAUCUGUGUCCAGAGUUCUAUGCUCAGGUGGUUUUGCCUUCCCUCUGAGCUCCUCCUCCUUGUUCUCAAGAACAUGUAUGACAUUCACUGGGUGUCAGUCGUGCCCUGCGGUUUUAUUUGGAUCCAACAGUGAAAUUUAGGAAAUCAGAGUCCCUCCUUGCGGCGUUUUUGGGGGCUUCCAAAGGUAUAAAUGUGUCCACAGCCAUGAUUUCUUGAUGUGCAAGUCUGCUCCCUCUGGAAUGACUGCUCACUCUUUCAGGGAAGCGGCUGCCACAGCUGCUUACAGGUGUAGUUUUCCUAUCAUAGAUAUUUGCUGGGCAUCCACUUGGGCCUCGCCACACACUUUUGUAAAACACUGCAGAAUAGAUUUACUUUCAUCAGCUGAUGGAGCCUUUGGCAGAAAGCUUCUCCAGAGGGUUUCUGCUGCAGUAAGUAAAGGCAGAGGAAACCCAAGCAGGUCUGAAGGAGGCUCCUCUGAUAUAUAUCUAUGAGGAAUGUCUUCUGUCCCUAUCUGGCAAAAAUGGAAAUGGUACUUAAUGAGAAUUUCCAUUUGAAGAUAGGGACAGAGGGCACUGCUCCUUUCUCUGUGUUUUCCCCUGGAGUGAGAUUGCUGAUGUAGGACUUCUGCUGCUGUCUUACAUAUUGCACACAUUAUUUGAGUACUGGUGUAUGCCCAGUUUUGUUAUGUCUAAGACCAGGUCUCCUUCUUUGCUAUUUCUCUGGUUUGAAGUUGUUGGCAGCCGGGUUCUGCAGACAUUGGAUUUGGGGUCGAGGAGUUGUCUUCAUUCUUGCCAGUCAGUCUGGAGGGCAGGAGCUGAACAGUUCUGAAGAUCCUGCCCCUCAUAGCCAGUGGGAGGAAUCAUUCUUACUAGGAAUGUCCUCCACCCCUAUUUUCAAAUAAAUUCCCAAUUCCCCCCUCAAUCAUAUGUUUCUGUUUCCUUAAGAACGGAUUUAAAAUAUUUUCUUCUUCCUAUUAACGGAUUGUAUAUAUAGAUCAGGAAGCAGAAAAAAGCAGAAUUUGUAUUUUGAACAAGAUAUACAGUGGUACCUCUGGAUGCGAAAGGGAUCAGUUCCGGAGCCCCGUUCGCAUCCUGAAGUGAAUGCAACCCGCGUCUGCGCAUGCAUGAGUCGCUGCUUCCGCACAUGCGCGUGACGUCAUUUUGAGCAUUUGCGCAUGCGCGAGUGGCGAAACCCGGAAGUAAUGCGCUCCGUUACUUCCGAGUCGCCGCGGAGCGCAACCCAAAAAUAUUCAUCCCGAAGCUACUUCAACCCGAGGUAUGACUGUAGUCCAUUCUCUCUCUCUCUCUCUCUCUCUCUCUCUCUCUCUCUCUCUCCAAUCUUUCACUAUGAUACCUGGGAACUGUCCAUAGGCUUUAGGAAGUUACACAAGGGCUUUGUGUACCUUCCUUUUUAAAGUGUGUGUACAUUUUGUUUUUACCGCCGCAGACCUCUUCAUUAUGAAGUGCAUCAAUUCUUACACGUUAUAGACUAAGAAACAGAAAUCUCAGCAGAUACUAUACAGACAGCUUCCUGUUUGCACUCAACUGCUCACACGGACAGUGCCAGGAACCUGGAAGUGGAACCCGGAAGUGGGGGGCACCCUGUAGAAUCCUGGCUCAUGAGGAGACCCUCCCCGGAGCCCAAAGAGGAUGUCCUCUUCAGGCUCCGGGGAGGGUCUCCUCAUAAGCUGGAGGUGGAGUGGGGCUUUGUUGAGUGUGCUCAGCCUCCCCGCCUAACAGCUGACAUGCAGGGUAGUGCAGCCGCUGAUGCCGUGUCCUUGCAUGUCAGCUGAGCAAGCCUCACGUGAGCCGGAGGGGCGGAGGGGCCUUGUUGAGCUGCGCAGCUGACGGGCGGGGAAGCCUGCAUCAUAGAAUUGUAGAGUUGGAAGGGAUUUUGAGGAUCAUCCAGCCCAACCCCCAGUAAUGUCAUAUGAGCACCGUCUCCCAGAAAGUACUCCUGUACAAAUAUCAUCAAAAUGAACAGGACACCUGGGAACCUUCUGUUCAGCUGGCCUGGGAGUACUCACUGGUAGAUACUGACCCAUAAUUUGUUUGCAAGUAAAUCCUGAAAGGGAAUUCAGCCUCUUUCUUUCCUUUCGAAAAUGACCGUAUUUGUUGUCUUGCUGUCAACAUUUUACAUGAUUUCACAUUCCAGGGUUACUCUGCCCAUCUGUAGUUGGCAGGGGAAGAACUGAGCAGGCUGAACUGUUGUGCUUUGCUUUUCUGUGACAUAUGGAAAGAAUGUAAAGUUGUUGUUGUUGUUGUUGCAGGCCUCAGACAAAGCAACACAAAAAUGUACAUUGAGCUUUCAAACAGGCUUCACGCUACUACCUUAACAGAUUAGAGAACUGGGCAAAAACAAACAAGAUGAAUUUUAAUAGGGAGAAAUGUAAAGUAUUGCACUUGGGCAAAAAAAAUGAGAGGCACAAAUACAAGAUGGGGGACACCUGGCUUGAGAGCAGUACAUGUGAAAAGGAUCUAGGAGUCUUGGUUGACCACAAACUUGACAUGAGCCAACAGUGUGACGCGGCAGCUAAAAAAGCCAAUGCAAUUCUGGGCUGCAUCAAUAGGAGUAUAGCAUCUAGAUCAAGGGAAGUAAUAGUGCCACUGUAUUCUGCUCUGGUCAGACCUCACCUGGAGUACUGUGUCCAGUUCUGGGCACCACAGUUCAAGAAGGACACUGACAAACUGGAACGUGUCCAGAGGAGGGCAACCAAAAUGGUCAAAGGCCUGGAAACGAUGCCUUAUGAGGAACGGCUAAGGGAGCUGGGCAUGUUUAGCCUGGAGAAGAGGAGGUUAAGGGGGUGAUAUGAUAGCCAUGUUCAAAUAUAUAAAAGGAUGCCACAUAGAGGAGGGAGAAAGGUUGUUUUCUGCUGCUCCAGAGAAGCGGACACGGAGCAAUGGAUCCAAACUACAAGAAAGAAGAUUCCACCUCAACAUUAGGAAGAACUUCCUGACAGUAAGAGCUGUUCGACAGUGGAAUUUGCUGCCAAGGAGUGUGGUGGAGUCUCCUUCUUUGGAGGUCUUUAAGCAGAGGCUUGACAACCAUAUGUCAGGAGUGCUCUGAUGGUGUUUCCUGCUUGGCAGGGGGUUGGACUCGAUGGCCCUUGUGGUCUCUUCCAACUCUAGGAUUCUAUGAUUCUACUACACACUAUGUGCAUUGUGUCUGUCUCCAUUUCUUAUUCUUUCUCAUUCCUUCCAGUCUUUAGGAGGAACUGCAGUUGAAGGACUGAGUUGAAAUUACGAAAGAAAGUGAUGAGUCAUGCUGCUUUUCCCAAUAGCUUCUAAAUCUGAAGACCCGACUACAUCAUGGCUUCUGCCUUGCUAUAUCCGUGGGAAGGGGAGGGGGUACAAAAUUAUACUAGUAUGUUAGCCUGAUGUUCCCAGUUUCCAACUUGUGUGUGUGUGAUUACCUAAUAUUCCUUCCCAGCUGUUUCUUAACAUUACUCAUACUAAAGCAACUAUCUUCUCACUUUCCUCACUAAACAUAGUUUCCCUUCGUGGGCUGUUUAGAAUGCUUUUUUUGUGUCUGUGCACUAUAGUUGCCUCAAACUGGCACUGAUUUAGGUAAUAAUAGUUACAAGCUCAACAAAUAUGUAAUCAAAAUAACCUUGCUCAUGCUAAGCUUUAUUCACCCAUUUCCACAAAAGCGGAAAGAAAAGAAAAAGGCAGGCUGCCACAAGUCUUAUUUUAUCUUACCAGGCAAGUGUUUAUCGGGCUGCCCGGGAAAGUGCAUGGACGGAGAGGCAUGAUUCAAAUGCACAAAUGGUGGAGCUGUGGAACCUUAGAGUUGGGAGGGACCCAGGGGUCAUCUAGUCCAACCCCCUGCAAUGCAGGAAUCUACGCAGGAAUUUCCAUGGAAUUUUGGAAAUAAUCAGCCAAAUGGUUGGCUGUGAUGUGAGGUCUUAAAACAUGGGUUGCCAAUCUUUCUGAGCCAAUAGGCACAUUUGGAGAAGGCGCCGUGGCCGCCAGUCGUUAAAUGGCUGCCAUGGAGGUGGCACAAAAUGACUAACACAAAAUGACAAGGCCACAAAAUGGUUUGGGCAUGCCGCCCCCCUCCCUCAAUGAAGAAAAGGUGCACUAGCUACUAGUUCAGAAUGGAUGCGGGGGGGUGGUGAGUGUCCAGUCCUAGCAGCCAACGAAAUGUGCUGUGUUCAAUGAAGGAGAAGGCUGAGCCACUACAAACAAACUGAGCGGUCUAUUGUGAAUUGUGAAUUUCUGAGGAGAUAUCUACUGAGACCUUUCAUGGGGGAAGCUGGGUGCUGCUGGCCAGCACAGCGGUGUCUGUGGGCGCUGCAUCAACUUUUUAAAGCUCUUGAGAAGGCAUGACUAUUGAAACACAUUCAGCGAUAUGACUGUAUCAAGACACAGUGAUAUGUUUGCGUGCACAUUCAAACCUAUGUGGGCUUGAUUGUCAAGGAACAAUCUGCUGAGCUGAGCGUUUCCAUUGCUCUUCCAUGGAACGUGGUCUUGGAGCAGAAAGUGACCUAAUGUGGACAGUCGGAGCUUGAAGAUAAUGGGUCACUUCUACUGCUGUUCUCUGGCAGCUACGAUUCAGUGCUAUAUUGCCUCUAAUCCUGGGGGUGGAAUUUAGCCAUGGUCAUUAAUAGCCAUUGGUAACCCCAUCAUCCUUGAGUAUGUAUAAUCCUCUUUGAACUCUUGUGACUAAUAGCCUUUACUGUGUGGUAGUGAGUGCCAUAUAUUAAUUAGGUGUUCUGUGUAUUUUCUUUUGUCUGUCCUAAAAUUGGCUCUUAAUCAGUUUUACUGGGUGACCUCCACUCUGGCAUCACGAGAAAGGGAGAAAAAAACAACUUAUCACUACCCACUUCUUCCACACCUUGCACAAUUCCACAAACAUCUUUUUGAUGCUCUUUUUUCUGAACUGAACAUUCUUAAAUGUUGGACGUCUUUCUUUGUAGGGAAUGCCUCCUGGUUCCUUGAUCCUUUUGACUGCACCUUUUCCAGCUCUGUGAUAUCCUUUCUGAGGUGGGAAGAUGGUGACCCAUGUUAUUCCAAGUGUGGACACGUCAGGCAUUUGUGUAAAGUUAAAGGCAGUUUUAUUUCCAGCCCCUUCCCUAAGAAUCCCUAGCAAGUUAUUUGCCCUUUUCACAGCUGCCGCACGCUGGGUCAACAUUUCUCUUGAAGUAUCUGCCAUGGCAACCGAGAAAGCUUCCCUUAUACCACGUCAGCCCGGCCUUUGGCACACCUUGUUUACUAUUGUCACUGCAAAAAGGUUGCAAAUGACUUUGAGUAAUGUGUGUUGUUCUAGGGUCACUGUCAUCUCAAAAAGAGGAUGGUUUUUAACAGUUUAAAAUCCAUCAAUAGCAGAAGCGGAACUCUUAACCACGGCCAAAGCACAGCACUGUCCACAACUUUGCUCCUACUGCCAUCUCUAUCUACAGAGACAUGGUGGUAGCAGCGCUAGCGGAAUUGUGGGCAAUAUAUAUCUGUGUGUCACCCCUGACACUAGAGUAAAUGUUACGUCAGGCCUCUCCCCCAAGAUGCAUGCUCCUUGCAUGCUUCCAGGUGUUGAUUAUUUAUCAGCACCCAAAAGUGGCUGUUCUGCUUUAAAAUGGAACGAAACCCGUUUCCAAAUUCCCAGCUGUCUGUAACCAAGCAGACAGUCCCCAUUUCCCUAACUCCAAAUGCUGGGUGGCAGCAGGGGGUGGGGGCUGUGUGUGUGACUGAGACCUGUGUGUGUGAUAAGGGUCAGAUAUUCCCUCCCCCCUGCACUGCACUCCUGAUCGUGAUUCCUCCCCCAACUCUCGUGGCACUGCAAUUCAGGAAGAAAAGAGAAAGAAACAGAUAUGAAGGUGCUGGUAUUUAAAAAGAGAAGGGUUGAUUCCCUCAGAGGAGAGGGAAAACAAAUGGCUAUAGCAGCCUCAGAAAUAGUCUGUGUGCCAGAGUCAGCUGAGCAGCAACACAAGAAGUCACCUGCACCUGGAGAAAUUGCACAGCCAAUUCCUUUGAUAAUUUAAAAAGUUGUAUUUUCGGAGCUCUUAAACAUAAAACUCAACACACACACACACACACACAAAAUGAGAGGGGGAUGUUUCGUUCAUGACAUUGUGGAGCUGCCUUUUCAAAAGUAAGUGAAAAAAGCAGGGCAACACCACAGUAAAUGCUCAGUGUGCAAGAGGCCAUGUUUACGUGCGCUUAGCGUUAAGCGAUUUGGUUUGUAGUUUCCCAGGUUGCUAAAAACAAACCCAAAAACUGCGUUCGAUGGACUGCUCUUCAAGCAUGUGGUGUGGAGGCCAGUUUUAGGGACAGCUUGCAAAGUUUGGUUAGCUUAGCAAUUUCAUGCAAAAUUGGUACAGAGCGCCUUAUUUUGGUACACUUGACACUGUGAAAUCUAAGGGCCAUUUGUCACAAGAUGCAGGGGCAAACCUGGGAUUGGUACAACGUGGGCACUCAAAGCAGGAGCUGUAGCCCUGCUCAUUAUUGUAUGACACAAGCAUUUAUUGCACAUUUACACUUUAUAUCUUUUCAUAGUAUGCACAAAGCUUCUUAGACAUAUAUCUAAAAAGGUAAUGUACAAAACGGCGCUAUCAGCCAAAGCAGCUUCUAAGGGCUGAGCACUCCGUAAUACAUAAUGCUCAUGGAAAGAAAACAUUGCAAUAUAUUAUUAUAUCACAGGGGAACCUUUAGUAUGAUAAAUAUUUCAUCAGGAUAGUAGGCCAAGGAUUCUUGGACUCAUAUGCAGUCUUUCCUAGAGCACAUGGAAAAACUACCUUUUUGAGUCUUUAAAAGCGUGAGCUCCCAUUGGACAGAAACAAAGAGCGGAAUAAUAAAUUGAUAACUUUGCAGUGGGGUCUCCGUUGUGCAUAAGAUGUUAAAGUGGCCUUCCAGAGAAAGCUGUGGGAGCCAGUGAACGCUCCAAGGCUCAGGGAAAGGAGUGAAAAGAAUUGAACAGAAUGCAUUCUGCUGAAGUAAAAAGUGACAAUUUGAAAAAGGGAAUGCUGUUCUGAAGGGGGAUGAAUCAAUGCUUGCUCUGAGUCACCCUCAAAUCCAUAGCUGCCCCUUCGUGCAAUGCUUGAGAUCACACCCUUGUACUCUCUGUUAAUCAAGCUGGAUUAAUCAUAUCUUCUUGGUUUUGCAUUUAUGAUUAAUAACAAUUUGUUAUAAUUUCCAACCAUACCUUAUUAAUAUCAGCUAAAGGCAUUAUUAUUUACUAGAAUAAAGACAUUUCAGUAAAAUGCCUAGCAUAUGUUUUGGUAGAGAGGACAUUUCAUACCUGGGAGCUGAACAACUUUGUUGUGUAACGAUGUACUGUACUAUUUCUGCUUAUCACUGUGAAAUAAAGGAGUUUUGCAAUAAAAAGUUUUUGGUUCUUAACAUAACAUUUAAGAUAAAUGGUUAAUAAAAGACCCAUGGUUGAUAGAGAGGAAGCAAAACCAAACAAGUACCAGAAAUAUAUAUUUUAAAAGCUCUUGCAAUACUUUUAUAUCUAACAGCAUUAAAGUUUAUGCUUAUAGGCUGCUUGAUGCAGCUGUCACGUUGGGUUUCACUUGGCCCUCCGGCAGCCCUCCUCAUUUGUCUGAGAGCAAAGCAUUCAAGCUGUCUGUCACAGCAGUGUGAUCUUUUGAUCCAAUGGGAAAGCAGAGUUUCUGCCAUAUUCAGGAAAGAUCCGUCACAUGAUCUUCAACAAAGCAACUGUGUCAUGCGCUGGUAAAUUCUGCCCAUUGCAAAUACGUAAGGGUGUCCUAUAAAUUAUGAUGCCAGGUUCCUGCAAAUAAAACCCCUGUUUCUUCCAUAGUGUUUCAUAGAAAGCUUAAAAUGCAAACAACAGCAAAAUGCUGCUGAUCAUGUUAAAAAAACAUUUAAAGCUGAUUCAGCAAAAAAUAGUAUUUUGGGUACACUGGACUCCACAGCAUCUUUACAAGAAGCUAUUGUUUUCUGAUUCAGGUAGAUGCUGGAAGUGUAAUGCUGGGGUACAUGAUGUGGGCUUGUCGAGUGAUAGCAUCUUUUUGCUUGGAAGUUGUCUAUAUUGUUGCACGGACCCCACUUUCCGAGCAGUGAGAGACUCCAGGGAUGCCUGUGAUUCUUGUGAAUAAUUAUAUUUGUAUACCACCCUUCAUCCGAAGGUCACAGGGUGGUUCGCAGCAU
This is a non-coding RNA of Podarcis lilfordi (Lilford's wall lizard), 30139 nucleotides long. NCBI's taxonomy places the organism in Eukaryota, Metazoa, Chordata, Lepidosauria, Squamata, Lacertidae. The record is from the annotation of a GenBank genome assembly.